This 1088-nucleotide long non-coding RNA is filed under the name Anser cygnoides (Swan goose). Its description in RNAcentral is "lncRNA (ENSACDG00005001861.1)". Lineage: Eukaryota; Metazoa; Chordata; Aves; Anseriformes; Anatidae. The record is from RNAcentral.
CGGGGACCGGGGACUGCCCCGUGUCGUCCCGUCCCGUCCCCCCCCCCAGCUUUGCCGGGGGCUUUUCGCCCUUGCCGGGGGGCUGCCCGGGGUCACUCGCCCCACGCCGUCUGGGUGCGGGCACGGUGCAGGGGCUGCCCGGCACCCUGCGGGGCCGCGACCCGCGACGUCCCCUGCCCCUUGGCUUUGCCUUGGCCGCCCUAGUGGGGGGGGGGGAGGAACGGGGACAGGGACGGGAACGGGACCCGUUCAUCCCGCAGCCGCUUCAACUCCUCCUCGUGGUUUUCCCACUCGCUUCCGAACCCGACGCGUGUUUCCCAGCCGGCAGCUGAGCUCCUGUUCGGUUUUGCAAGCGGAACUUUUCCCCACCGCCAGCAGAGACGCGAAAAUCCCCGACCCGGGUCCGAAAAAAACCCCGGGCCGGUUGCCCUGCUGCUCCCUCCCUCUGGUGCCAGCCCGGGCUGCGGGACGGAGCCCCCCGGCACCACCGUUUUGUCUCCCUUCGGUCUUUCUGCCUGGCCGGCCUUUGGUACCCCUCGCCCCCUCUGUUGCCGAAGUUCAGACCUGGUUACUCCAGCCCCUGUCUCUGAAGUUCAAAUGUACAUGUGAGUCCCCUCCGCUGAGUGACAGCUGCAAUGGAAACGUCGCGUUCGCUCCUGGUUUGCAUUUAAUUACAGCGGAGGUGCAAUAUGUUUAUGGCAGAAGAAAAGCUACUUGUCUUUACGCUUGUUAGGGAUAUUCAUUUGUCCACGAUAAACCGCGUUUUAAAAGGUAUUUAUGGCGUAUGAAAUGUUCCCCUUGCCAGCCGGCUCGCAGGUCGGUGCGGGGGAUUUCUGCUGCUGUUUCCCCGGGCUCCUUUUGCCUUUUCCUCACACCCUCGGCGGAGGGGACGAGGGUAACCCGCGGAGCCUCUGCUCCCGGGGCCGUUGCCGAAGCCCCCGCAGCCCCUGCCCGCUCUGCCCCACUGCGAAAUCUGCCGUAAGGAGCGGGCACCCACUGGGGACCAUUUCUCCUCCCGCGCCGACCUGGCGCUGCAGGGCCCAGACCUGGCGCUCUUCCCUCCGGCGAGGCUCCCCGAGCCGUGCCCG